UCGAGGAUCUUCGGCAAUGGGCGCAAGCCUGACCGAGCGACGCCGCGUGCGGGAUGAAGGCCUUCGGGUUGUAAACCGCUGUCAGUGGGGAGAAAAUUGGUAAGGGUACUCUCUCAUCAUUGAUCUAUCCGCAGAGGAAGUGUGGGCUAAGUUCGUGCCAGCAGCCGCGGUAAGACGAACCACACAAACGUUAUUCGGAAUUACUGGGCUUAAAGGGUGCGUAGGCUGCGCAGAAAGUUGGGUGUGAAAUACCUCGGCUCAACCGAGGAACUGCGCCCAAAACUACUGUGCUUGAGGGAGAUAGAGGUGAGCGGAACUUAGGGUGGAGCGGUGAAAUGCGUUGAUAUCCUAAGGAACACCCGUGGCGAAAGCGGCUCACUGGAUCUCUUCUGACGCUGAGGCACGAAAGCUAGGGUAGCGAACGGGAUUAGAUACCCCCGUAGUCC
This 446-nucleotide ribosomal RNA is filed under the name uncultured bacterium. RNAcentral's name for it is "bacterial SSU rRNA". It matches the Rfam family "Bacterial small subunit ribosomal RNA", at positions 355 to 796 of the family's 1533-position model. The record is from RNAcentral.